Long non-coding RNA from Callorhinus ursinus (northern fur seal), 857 nucleotides. RefSeq lists it as uncharacterized. The record is from RefSeq and is a predicted model, not a curated record. Lineage: Eukaryota; Metazoa; Chordata; Mammalia; Carnivora; Otariidae.
UCCUACUGCUCGGGGACUCCUUGGUCCUGGGCAAACAGGGAUGGCUGGGCACCCUCGGGCCACUCCCAGCAGCCAUGCAGGACCACGCUCCCAGGAAUCUCUGCUACACCGCCAGGCCCCCCUUAUGAAGGUCCCUCCUCUGUCCCACCUGGCCCUAUGGAGCUGUUAGAGCAGGACCACUGCCUGCCUGCUCUCUUUGUGAAGAUGUGAUAACAAGGCCUGGGUUGUAAGUGGCCAGAGAGCCAGAAGGCCUGGGUGAUGAUCGCAGAAUCACAGCUAAAGCGCUGAGCCUUCCAGAGAUGAAUUUGGAGAAUUCCAAAUUCUCAUGGAAAUCAUUCAUGUCUACCUGCCAGGAGCUGGGUUUCCUGAGCCCCAUAUGGUCCAAGAAUUGUCAUACUGCAAGCUACUCUGGAUACAUAGAGGGAAAGACACUUGCCGAAGUCCCUCAAGAGCUGGCCAUAUGGGAUCUGUGCUAAAAGGAAAGAAAGGGAAAUGGGUACCCAGAAGACUCGAGGUUGUCUUGAAAGAAGUAGAGUAAGACAAAGGAUUUGAAGUGAGCAGACCUGGGUUCUAGUACUAACACACCAAUCUGCUCUGUGACCUUUGGUCAGUCACUUAACCUCUCUGAGCUUCAUGUUCCUGCUCUGCAAAAUGUUAAUAUUUUUAAAAGGAAAAACCUUGUCCCUCUCCUACUAUUGUUGUAAGGAGGGAAAUGUGUUUUUCAAGUUAUGAAAUUCUAAGCAAAUGCUCCUUGUAGUUGUCACUAUUUUCCUCCUCAUUAACCAUCUGUAGUGCUCCGUAUACUCACCCAGCCCUGAGCAGAACUGAAAAAACUCAGCUGGAGGAUUCCAGUGCUC